UGGUUCGACGAAAUCCGGUGAAGGUGUAAAUCGGGCUUUUUGAGGUAUUGUAGGGUUGUUGUUGGUUUUUGGAAGAAAAGGGACUAAUUUUUCCAUAAAGAAGAGUUUCUUUUUUCUUCAUCCAUUCCCCUUAGUGACAAUCCCCUCUUCUUUCUAUCAAAUGCCUCCAAGAAUAUCAAGAAGCAGAGUGGAGUUUUCCUGAGAGGUGGGGACGUGUGUCCUCACAUCAGUGGUGUCAAAAUUCAAAAUAACAUCGCCUCCCCAACCAUCAUGCGCCACUUGUAUCGAGUGAGUGAAGGAAUAAAAUCCUAUUGUUUUCGAUUUUCC
RNAcentral lists this long non-coding RNA (327 nucleotides) under Lathyrus oleraceus (garden pea). Its description in RNAcentral is "Pisum sativum (pea) long non-coding RNA (PSAT_LNC010544)". Lineage: Eukaryota; Viridiplantae; Streptophyta; Magnoliopsida; Fabales; Fabaceae. The record is from RNAcentral.